UAUUGCUCUUGGAUUAAUGGAAACAGAAUGAACUUAAAGUGCAAUUAUUGUGGACUUGAAAGAUGGGGAGGGAUAAAUCGAAUGAAACACCAUUUUUCGGGUGAUCAUGAUAAUGUGGCUCCUUGUACACAAUGUCCGGAUAAUGUGAGGGAACUUUGUAUUCAGAUCUUAGGAGAAUUAGAAAGACAAAAAGUGAAUGAAAAAGAAUAUUUCCAAGAAGAGAAAGAAGUUCAAAUGGUAGGAGGAAAAAGAAAAACUAGUAUGGAUGCCUUUGUCACUAAAGGUAAAGGGAAAGGAAAAGAGCAAACUUUAAAUGCAAUGGUUAAGAAAAGGGAGCCCGUUGUUCCUAGCAUUUGUAGAUUUUUGUAUGGACAUGCAUUGCCUUUUGUUUUGGUCAAAAGUCCCCUUUUUACUUCAAUGAUGGAAGCUGUUGGUGAAUAUGGCAAGGGUUUAAAACUUCCUAGUUAUCAUGAGGCUAGAGUUACAUUUUUGAAGAAGGAAGUUGACAAUGUAAACUCAAUGCUAGAGAAGUAUAAAAAGGAGUGGAAAAGGACCGGUUGUACUUUGAUGUCGGAUGGGUGGACGGAUAGGAAAAGUAGGUCUCUUACAAACUUUUUGGUGAACAGUCCAAGUGGAACAGUUUUUCUUAAAUUUGUUAACACUUCAGAUGUUAUAAAAGAUGCACAAAAAUUAUUUGAGUUGCUUGAUUCAUUAGUGGAGGAAAUUGGGGAGGAAAAUGUUGUUCAAGUGGUGACUGAUAGUGCUUCGGCCUACGUAGCUGCGGGUGACUUGUUGAUGGAGAAAAGAAAAAAAUUAUUUUGGUCUCCUUGUGCAGCACAUUGCAUUGAUUUGAUCUUGCAUGAUAUAGGUGGGUUGCCUAUUUUCACAGAUACAAUAAAGAAGGCUAAAGAAGUUUGUGUAUAUAUUUAUAGACAUGCUUGGGUCCUUAGCAUGUUUAGAAAGUUCUCUAAGAAGAGAGAGUUGAAGAGGCCGGGAGUUACAAGGUUUGCCACAUCAUUUCUUACAUUAAGGAGCUUUGAGGAAAACAAGAUUCCUCUUAGGGCUAUGUUUGCAUCGGAAGAGUGGGCUAAAAGUCAUUAUGCUUCUAAGGUGGAUGCAAUUAAAGUGGGAGCAAUCUUGUUAUCCGAUGACAAGUUUUGGAAAUCGGUCAAGUAUUGCUUGAAGUGUGUAAGUCCACUUGUUAAAGUUUUAAGGCUUGUUGAUGGAGAUGUGAAAUCGAUAAUGGGAUACAUAUAUGAAGCAAUGGAUAGGGCAAAGGAGAAAAUUGCACAAAAUUUCAACCAUCAAAAGAUAAAGUAUGAGCGCAUUUGGAACAUUAUUGAUACAAGAUGGGAUUUACAACUUCAUAGGCCACUUCAUGCAGCUAGAUAUUUUCUUAAUCCCAAGUGAGUUUCUAAAAUCAUGUUUCUAAUUUCCUAUAACCAACAGUUCCUUGUAUAUGCUUUAUUGUUUCUUACUUGUAUGCAUUUUUUCAAGGUUUCAAUAUGAUGAGUCUUUUAAUGCGGAUAUAGAAGUUGAAGUUGGUUUGUACAAGACAAUAGAAAAUAUGUAUCCGGAUAUUGAAACAAGACUCAAAAUGGAUGAGCAAUUAGAAAAGUUUAAAAAAGGAGAAGGAUUGUUUGGCAUGAGCAUGGCUACCUUAACAAGAGACAAGAAGCAACCGGCUUUAUGGUGGGAAAGCUAUGGGGAAGAAUGCAAAGAGUUACAAAACCUUGCCAUACGAGUUUUGAGUCUCACAUGUAGUGCUACUGGAUGUGAAAGAAAUUGGAGCACAUUUGAGCAUGACCAUUCCAAAAAGAGAAAUCAUUUGGAACAACAAAGAUUAAAUGCUCUUGUCUUUGUGAAGUAUAACAUUCAACUUGAAAUGAGGCAAGUUAAGAGGGAGAAAAAAGGUGAAAAUUAUGAUCCUAUUUGUUUGAGUGAUAUGGAGUCUGAUGAUGAAUGGAUCACCGAACAAGAAAACCCUUGUUUACCUGAGGAUAAUUCAUGGAUGGAUGCUAAUGAAUGCUUUGAAGAUGAUGGAGGUACUCAGCCAAGUAAUAAUAGAAGAGGGCCAAGGAAGUUGAAGCUAGAUAGAAAAGGAAAAGGAAAAGUUGUUGAAGACAAAGUGGAAGAAGAAUUGGAUUUAGAAAUGAUUGAUGACGAGGAAGAUGUAGAGGAUGGAGAGCAAGCAGAUUUGGCUACAUUUGAAGACAAAGAAGAUAAUGAAAAUGAUGAAGAUGAUGAUGCUCUUUAAUUUGAAGAUGAAUAUGAUUGAUAAUUAGUGAAGAUUAUGGACAAUGGAAUUUAUUAGUAGCCUAAUAGUUGUUUUUUUCUAGCUUGUUAUUUUGAAAGUGGUAUGAUUUGAUGCAAUUUGAAUAUAAAGGUAAUAUGAAUA
RNA transcript from Diospyros lotus (date-plum), 2398 nucleotides. It is a transcript of the gene named histone chaperone ASF1-like, with no coding region annotated. The transcript is spliced from 3 exons. Lineage: Eukaryota; Viridiplantae; Streptophyta; Magnoliopsida; Ericales; Ebenaceae. The record is from RefSeq and is a predicted model, not a curated record.